UCCUCAGUUGGUACAGCAUGAGUCUCUUAAUCUCAAAGUCAUGGGUUCAAGCCCCACACAGGAAAA
Podarcis lilfordi (Lilford's wall lizard) is the source of this 66-nucleotide non-coding RNA. The record is from the annotation of a GenBank genome assembly. Lineage: Eukaryota; Metazoa; Chordata; Lepidosauria; Squamata; Lacertidae.